This 564-nucleotide ribosomal RNA is filed under the name Staphylococcus sp. Bacteria_62. RNAcentral describes it as "bacterial SSU rRNA". It matches the Rfam family "Bacterial small subunit ribosomal RNA", at positions 46 to 592 of the family's 1533-position model. The record is from RNAcentral. Lineage: Bacteria; Bacillati; Bacillota; Bacilli; Caryophanales; Staphylococcaceae.
GCCUAAUACAUGCAAGUCGAGCGAACAGACGAGGAGCUUGCUCCUCUGACGUUAGCGGCGGACGGGUGAGUAACACGUGGAUAACCUACCUAUAAGACUGGGAUAACUUCGGGAAACCGGAGCUAAUACCGGAUAAUAUAUUGAACCGCAUGGUUCAAUAGUGAAAGACGGUUUUGCUGUCACUUAUAGAUGGAUCCGCGCCGCAUUAGCUAGUUGGUAAGGUAACGGCUUACCAAGGCAACGAUGCGUAGCCGACCUGAGAGGGUGAUCGGCCACACUGGAACUGAGACACGGUCCAGACUCCUACGGGAGGCAGCAGUAGGGAAUCUUCCGCAAUGGGCGAAAGCCUGACGGAGCAACGCCGCGUGAGUGAUGAAGGUCUUCGGAUCGUAAAACUCUGUUAUUAGGGAAGAACAAAUGUGUAAGUAACUAUGCACGUCUUGACGGUACCUAAUCAGAAAGCCACGGCUAACUACGUGCCAGCAGCCGCGGUAAUACGUAGGUGGCAAGCGUUAUCCGGAAUUAUUGGGCGUAAAGCGCGCGUAGGCGGUUUUUUAAGUCUGA